Lytechinus variegatus (green sea urchin) is the source of this 450-nucleotide long non-coding RNA. RefSeq lists it as uncharacterized. The transcript has 4 exons. The record is from RefSeq and is a predicted model, not a curated record. NCBI's taxonomy places the organism in Eukaryota, Metazoa, Echinodermata, Echinoidea, Temnopleuroida, Toxopneustidae.
GCACGAGCAACCAAUCCCAACGGAUGGGCCCUUCUUUGCGACUCAGCCCAAGUUUCAAUGGAAGCAAUUACAAGAAAGAGAAUGCUAGAAGAGGGACGAAUGGAUUUCGACCUUCCGGUAAUCUUGCCAAACAUAAAGGAUCAACUCUUUAAAAGAAGCUAAGGAGACAGUGAAAGUUUUGAAAGCACUAUUUGAAACCGGUAUAAUGGAAAGAGAAUGCCCGAAGAUGGACGAAUGGAUUCUGACCGCUUGGUUAACUUGCUGAACAUAAAGGACCUAUCGACUUUUGAAGGCUGUGAGGGCACUUGUUGAACUAAUACCACUCUGUGUACAACAUGGAUACAUCCCCUAACUGGUGAUAAUCAUCUUCCAGGAAUAAAUGAGAGAUGUUCUACAGGAGACAAGGACCCAAUCUUGAAUCUUUAUCUACGUGCAGGGUUGGCUAGUACA